Molecule: ribosomal RNA, 440 nt
Filed under: uncultured bacterium
Lineage: Bacteria
Description: partial 16S ribosomal RNA
Rfam family: Bacterial small subunit ribosomal RNA
Source: RNAcentral
CCUACGGGAGGCAGCAGUGGGGGAUAUUGCACAAUGGGGGGAACCCUGAUGCAGCGACGCCGCGUGGGUGAAGGAGCGUUUCGGCGCGUAAAGCCCUAUCGGCAGGGAAGAAGAUGACGGUACCUGACCAAGAAGCCCCGGCUAACUACGUGCCAGCAGCCGCGGUAAUACGUAGGGGGCAAGCGUUAUCCGGAUUUACUGGGUGUAAAGGGCGUGCAGCCGGAGAGACAAGUCAGAUGUGAAAUCCGCGGGCUCAACCCGCGAACUGCAUUUGAAACUGUUUCCCUUGAGUAUCGGAGAGGUCAUCGGAAUUCCUAGUGUAGCGGUGAAAUGCGUAGAUAUUAGGAAGAACACCAGUGGCGAAGGCGGAUGACUGGACGACAACUGACGGUGAGGCGCGAAAGCGUGGGGAGCAAACAGGAUUAGAUACCCGUGUAGUC